AACACACACAUGCAUUCAAAGACACCGGCACACAGUCCCACUUAAGUAACACAACAGAGGAGUGCCGCUGCAGGAGCCGAAAGUUUCAAUAGAAUAUAAAAAGGGAUCGAACAACAGAUUGUCAAAUUAUUGACUCAGGAGUGGGAGACGAGGAAGAGAAUCAUGAACAAUGCACCUGGAGGCAAGGGAAAUGACUAUACAGAAGUUCAAAGGUUGAUCAAGUCACUAUGCUAGAUGCUGUGAAGACAAAAAUGGCUAGUUUGACAAGUCUGGCUCAGAUUAUUUAUUCUUCUGGAAGUGUCAACGAAGUCUUCUAACAUCCUCCUCCUCAAGGAAUCCUUAGAGAAUGUAAACUCUUCGAGGUCAUGGUUUGUGACUUCAUUGUUCCUUUGAUACACACCUAUAAACUAGAAAAAUCUUCAAUCU
Molecule: long non-coding RNA, 426 nt
Organism: Rhinopithecus roxellana (golden snub-nosed monkey)
Lineage: Eukaryota; Metazoa; Chordata; Mammalia; Primates; Cercopithecidae
Exons: 4
Source: RefSeq, a predicted model, not a curated record